RNAcentral lists this small RNA (113 nucleotides) under Vector pAAVsc_gSerpina1e. RNAcentral's name for it is "Serpina1e-gRNA5". The stretch from base 22 to 113 matches the Rfam family "Trans-activating crRNA". From Rfam's summary of the family: RNA-guided Streptococcus pyogenes Cas9 (SpCas9) is a sequence-specific DNA endonuclease, the Trans-activating CRISPR RNA form an hybrid with the crRNA (crRNA/tracrRNA). The RNA hybrid acts as a guide for the endonuclease Cas9. The record is from RNAcentral.
GCUAAGAGCAACAGUGGCCCGUUUCAGAGCUAUGCUGGAAACAGCAUAGCAAGUUGAAAUAAGGCUAGUCCGUUAUCAACUUGAAAAAGUGGCACCGAGUCGGUGCUUUUUUU